GAACAGCCAGUGUUGCAAGGCUAGCACCUGUUGAAUUACGACUGAACGCCUCUAAGUCGGAAUUCAUGCUGACUGUGCAGUGUUCAAGUACUCCUCAAGCAGAGUGUGAGAUAUAUUCGAUCAACACAUGUGCCCAGAGUGUUAAAACUAUGGGUUAUGACGAUGUGCAGGUUGCUUGAGGAGGGUGGACUUUUUGCAGAUGACUGAGAU
RNAcentral lists this ribosomal RNA (210 nucleotides) under Alexandrium tamarense. RNAcentral's name for it is "partial Eukaryotic large subunit ribosomal RNA". It matches the Rfam family "Eukaryotic large subunit ribosomal RNA", at positions 3079 to 3321 of the family's 3401-position model. Lineage: Eukaryota; Dinophyceae; Gonyaulacales; Pyrocystaceae. The record is from RNAcentral.